ACAGUGUCACAGGCAAAAGGACCAAGUGCGGGCGGGUGAGCAUCAGGAGUCCAGUUGAUUGGCUUCGGCCUUUGAGUUGCUGCUGGCUAGCGGUGCCGCUUCUGAGCGUCUCCUCACCCCUCACUCAUGUGGCCCCUUCAACUGGUGGCACUUUUGCUUGUGUCUUGUUAUCUUUUCGAAAUGGUGAAGCUGACAAUGAUAGCCUGUAUCACUGAUGGCCUUUCAUUUGCGGAGUGCUUAGAUGGUGGUUAUGUUAAGGAUGUUGUCUUCUACAAGCAGCAAGCAAAAUUGUUGUUCAAAAACAUAUAUAAAGGCCAACAUGAAUCAUCAAGACUGUCAACUGAGACUGGACCGUACCAUUCCAGGUUAAGGUUGCAGGAAUAGCUUUAUAUUAGGAGCAGCUUCUCCACCACCACUCAGCGGUAGAGGAGGUGUGCUUCUUCCCCAACACAACAUAGCGUCAGCCACGAGAAAAGGAGAAGAAGGGGAUGGAUGAGCAAGGAGCAGAAGGACCUGAAGAAGAAGGGCAAGGGAAGUGGGGCGAUAUGCAUGUCCAGGGAGGGUAUAGAAAACCAAUUAGUGUUGGCUGCCUUGAAGGGAGCCACAAGGAAGAGAGAGAUCAGUGUACAUGACAUGAAGAUGAUAAGGCGCCACUUCCACGAUGACAUCAACAUCGCCGUGGUCUGUCUUCAAUGGCACCUGGGGCGACAUCAGAUCAUGACAUGCAUCCUUUAGCUAGAUUCAUCUUUGUUUGAUGUAGUUCUUUGUGAUCUGAAAGCAACUGACUACUCAAUACCAAUCAGUGCAUGGAGGGAACUCCUGUCCACCACGCCGGCGACAGGAACAUGGAAAACGCAGUCCACGGUGCCACCAAUGAACAAGAGCUGAUCAGCCCAAAGUCUAUGGUUAAUGCCAUUCUUGGUAACAUUGGUCUGCCUGAUGCAAAACAAACAAGGACUACAAGAACUACAAUGGACGUGCCGAGACAAGCAUUGUAAGGAUCCCAGUUAGAAUGAUGCUUGAUCUCCUGGUAGAGCAUCUUGGGCUUCACAAGGCCAUCUGAGACUCGGGCUCAAUGAGAACACAAUGAGAGUCAUCAUUCUCUCUGACACUGCUGUUCAAGACGACCGGACCUGUCCACCGCGCAUGCCCAUUACUGGUGUAUGAACAUUGCAUCCUUUAAUUUACCCUGUAUAUGAACAUUCCAUUCUUCAAAUAUGUUGUACUAUCAUUCUGGUGGCUAUGGAGAUGUGUUGUACUGUAGUUUUGGUAUCCAUUGAUGAUGUCUUGCUCCGAUUACACUUGAAUCUGUA
Molecule: RNA transcript, 1313 nt
Organism: Triticum dicoccoides
Lineage: Eukaryota; Viridiplantae; Streptophyta; Magnoliopsida; Poales; Poaceae
Exons: 8
Source: RefSeq, a predicted model, not a curated record